UUUUUUUUUUUUUUUUUUCAGCUGUUACUGUUGAAGAAUCUCUUGGCUUGGACUCAUUUAGCCCCUUGACAUUGUAAGUACGGCCCAUGAGCGUAACCGGUGGUCACUGCUGCUGCAUCCACUGGGUCGUGAGGGAGGCACAGUCAUGAUAACAAACAGUCCUUACUGGCGUUCCCGUCCUGGCGCAGUGGUUAAUGAAUCUGACUAGGAACCAUAAGGUUGCGGGUUCGAUCCCUGGCCUCGCUCCGUGGGUUAAGGAUCCGGCGUUGCCGUGAGCUGUGGUGCUAGGGAUCAAAUCUAUGUCCCCAUGGAUACUAGGCCGAUGCAUUUUCCUGAGCCGCAAUGGGAACUCCAUGAAUUUUAUUUUAAAUGCACUGUGUUUGCCAUCAGAGCAGGACAUCAGAUAAAUACCAGAUGUGACCACCCACAGGGCAUCCUGUGAAGAAAUGUAGACAUAGGCUUAAAAUCCUUUAGCACAAAAAUCUGUAUUUGAGACAGCUCUAAAAACUGAAGGUUUGUGGCCAACUCACCUGGACAUAAAACCAACCUGCUAGAACCGAGUUGAAGGCUAAGUCCAGCCUGAGUUGAAGGCUAAGUCCAGCCUAACCUGAUGUGGGGCUCUUUAAAGUUUCUCUUUAUCCCACUCAUCAUGAACAACCAUGCGUUUUGCUGCAGAUAUAUGAAUAAGAUUCCCUUCAGGGUGCUUCUCUCCGACCCCUCUAGGCCUGGUAUAUAUCUCUGAUAUAUUCACCAUAAGGCCAGUCUAAAUCAGAAAAAAAGCCUGAAUUCAACGCACUGGCCCCAAGGGUUCUGAAUACGGCAUGAGGUCUUUAGAAACAUAAAGCAGGGAAGACCCUAGAUCUCGUCCGGGUCAAUUAAUAUUACGAAUGAGAAAAAGAAGCCUAGACACAUGUGUGCGAGGAGCAGGGAACGUGUUCAGAAUCACGUCCUCAGUCUGGGGCUCAGCCAAGACAGUGCUAUUUCUCCUGCCACCUGCUGCCCACGUGUGCGUGUACGUGUUGAGAACACAGGUGUCUCUGCCCACCACUCCUACUGAGACACUAAGGUGAGCUAUCUGAAAAUGAGUGUGUCACUGGUUAUCACCGUUACCCAUAAUCCUGCUUUGGUUCAGACAAUAUUGACAAUAUGGAAGUUUGAGAGAGGUUAAUUCAAAGCUGUUCUAUAUGACUCUUGAAAAUUAGUCCAGUAAGAUUUUAAUGAACAAUGCAUUUGCAUUGCAUUCAUCUGAAUGCAUUUCCUUUUAGCAGUUAGAAAUGCUAAAUAUGAUUUAUUUUUGUCUUUUUAGAGCCGCCACCUGCGGCAUAUGGAGGCUCCCAGGCUAGGGGUAUAAUUGGAGCUGUAGCCGCCGGC
Molecule: long non-coding RNA, 1371 nt
Filed under: Sus scrofa (pig)
Lineage: Eukaryota; Metazoa; Chordata; Mammalia; Artiodactyla; Suidae
Description: lncRNA (ENSSSCG00060013202.1)
Source: RNAcentral